GAUGAACGCUGGCGGCGUGCCUAAUACAUGCAAGUCGAGCGAACGGACGCGAAGCUUGCUUCUCUGAUGUUAGCGGCGGACGGGUGAGUAACACGUGGAUAACCUACCUAUCAGACUGGGAUAACUUCGGGAAACCGGCGCUAAUACCGGAUAAUAUUUUGAACCGCAUGGUUCAAAAGUGAAAGACGGUCUUUCUGUCACUUAUAGAUGGAUCCGCGCUGCAUUAGCUAGUUGGUAAGGUAACGGCUUACCAAGGCAACGAUGCAUAGCCGACCUGAGAGGGUGAUCGGCGACACUGGAACUGAGACACGGUCCAGACUCCUAAGGGAGGCAGCAGUAGGGAAUCUUCCGCAAUGGGCGAAAGCCUGACGGAGCAACGCCGCGUGAGUGAUGAAGGUCUUCGGAUCGUAAAACUCUGUUAUUAGGGAAGAACAUAUGUGUAAGUAACUGUGCACAUCUUGACGGUACCUAAUCAGAAAGCCACGGCUAACUACGUG
RNAcentral lists this ribosomal RNA (497 nucleotides) under uncultured bacterium. Its description in RNAcentral is "partial 16S ribosomal RNA". It matches the Rfam family "Bacterial small subunit ribosomal RNA", at positions 28 to 507 of the family's 1533-position model. The record is from RNAcentral.